CCUACGGGGUGCAGCAGUGGGGAAUAUUGGGCAAUGGAGGCAACUCUGACCCAGCCACGCCGCGUGAAUGAUGAAGGUCUUCGGAUUGUAAAGUUCUGUGAUGGGGGAUGAACACAAUGACGGUACCCCAAUAACAAGCCACGGCUAAAUACGUGCCAGCAGCCGCGGUAAUACGUAGGUGGCAUGCGUUAUCCGGAAUGACUGGGCGUAAGGGGUGCGUAGGUGGUGUAGUAAGUUGGCGGUGUAAUUCCGGGGCUAAACCUCGGCGCUACCGCCAAAAGUAUUAGACGAGAGUGCAGAAGGGGUAAGAGGAAUUCGUAGUGUAGCGGUGGAAUGCGUAGAUAUUAGGAGGAACAUCAGGGGCGAAGGCGACUUACUGGACUGUAACUGACACUGAGGCACGAAAGCGUGGGGAGCAAACAGGAUUAGAUACCCCAGUAGUC
This 443-nucleotide ribosomal RNA is filed under the name uncultured bacterium. Its description in RNAcentral is "partial 16S ribosomal RNA". It matches the Rfam family "Bacterial small subunit ribosomal RNA", at positions 338 to 795 of the family's 1533-position model. The record is from RNAcentral.